CUAUUUCCACAUCUAUGUAAAUUCUGAUUCAGCCAAAGGCACUACAUUGGUGGGAUUUGCUGGCAAAUAACACGUUCUUAUCAUAAACUCGGAAAAGAUAGCUAUGAUAAAUGAUGACAUCAUCAGCAUACAGUGAUAGGAAAUAUAGUCUCGUUUGCUAUGCUACACUGAUUUUUGUAUGCAUACUUCACUUUUUCGUGUUGUGUUUUUUCAGAGCUCUGUUCAUCAACCUGUUAGGCCUAGUUUGCACCCUGACAUCGUCAGUGAUUUCAGGGCUGUGCCUUUAUUCGUUCUAUAAGAAUUGUGACCCAUGGAAAGCUGGACAAGUUUCAUCACCUGAUCAGCUGUUGCCUUAUUUGGUGAUGGAUAUCUUGGCAGAUCACCAAGGUCUUCCAGGACUAUUUUUAGCUGCAGUAUAUAGUGCCUCUCUGAGCACAGUUUCUACUUCAAUCAACGCAAUGGCUGCAGUGACCAUGGAGGACCUGAUCAAACCACGCAUUGAACUGUCUGAGAAAAAGCUUCUCUUAAUCUCCAAAGGGCUGAGUAAAUAAUAAGUUAUCUGUUGUUUGUUUAUAAUAUACAGUGGGGCAAAAGAGUAUUUAGUCAGCCACCAAUUGUGCAAGAGAGGCUUGUAAUUUUCAUCAUAGGUAUAUCUCAACUAUGAGAGACAAAAUG
This is a non-coding RNA of Neolamprologus brichardi, 675 nucleotides long. The record is from RefSeq and is a predicted model, not a curated record. NCBI's taxonomy places the organism in Eukaryota, Metazoa, Chordata, Actinopteri, Cichliformes, Cichlidae.